UACGGAGGGUGCAAGCGUUAAUCGGAAUUACUGGGCGUAAAGCGCACGUAGGUGGUUUGUUAAGCUAGCUGUGAAAUCCCCGGGCUCAACCUUGGCACUGCAGUUAGAACUGGCAAGCUAGAGUAGGGUAGAGGGGUGUGGAAUUCCAGGUGUAGCGGUGAAAUGCGUAGAUAUCUGGAGGAACAUCAGUGGCGAAGGCGACACCCUGGACUCAUACUGACACUGAGGUGCGAAAGCGUGGGGAGCAAACAGG
Molecule: ribosomal RNA, 253 nt
Filed under: uncultured bacterium
Lineage: Bacteria
Description: partial 16S ribosomal RNA
Rfam family: Bacterial small subunit ribosomal RNA
Source: RNAcentral